Molecule: ribosomal RNA, 487 nt
Filed under: uncultured bacterium
Lineage: Bacteria
Description: partial 16S rRNA
Source: RNAcentral
GCACGUAGUUAGCCGGUGCUUCUUCUUCGGGUACCGUCAUUAGUCCGUGGUGUUAGCACGAACCGUUUCGUCCCCGCCGAAAGAGCUUUACAACCCGAAGGCCUUCUUCACUCACGCGGCAUGGCUGGAUCAGGCUUGCGCCCAUUGUCCAAAAUUCCCCACUGCUGCCUCCCGUAGGAGUCUGGACCGUGUGUCAGUUCCAGUGUGGCUGAUCGUCCUCUCAGACCAGCUACGGAUCGUAGCCUUGGUGGGCUGUUACCCCGCCAACUAGCUAAUCCGGUAUCGGCCGCUCCUAUAGUGCGAAGCCUUGCGGUCCUCCGCUUUCACCCGUAGGUCGUAUGCGGUAUUAGCCUCUCUUUCGAGAGGUUAUCCCCCGCUACAGGGUACGUUCCGAUAUAUUACUCACCCGUUCGCCACUCGCCACCAGGGGUUGCCCCCCGUGCUGCCGUUCGACUUGCAUGUGUAAGGCAUGCCGCCAGCGUUCAAU